ACUUUUAUAUAUUAAUUUAAUUUUUUUGAAUUUUAAGAGUUUAAUUAAAUAUUAUAUUUUGUUGGGGCGAUAAAGGUAUAAAUAAUAUUAACUGCUUAAUUUUAAAUCAAUAAUAUUUGUAUUGUUAAAUAAAUGAUCCUUUUUAAAGAAUAAAAAACUAAGUU
RNAcentral lists this ribosomal RNA (164 nucleotides) under Harrovia japonica. Its description in RNAcentral is "partial 16S ribosomal RNA". Lineage: Eukaryota; Metazoa; Arthropoda; Malacostraca; Decapoda; Pilumnidae. The record is from RNAcentral.